UUACUCUUCGGAGUGAGAGCGUACACAGGUGCUGCAUGGCUGUCGUCAGCUCGUGUCGUGAGAUGUUGGGUUAAGUCCCGCAACGAGCGCAACCCUGCAUUCAGUUGCCAUCGGUAAGGCCGGGCACUCUGGAUGGACUGCCGGCGACAAGCCGGAGGAGGUGGGGACGACGUCAGGUCAUCAUGGCCCUUAUGUCCAGGGCGACACACGUGCUACAAUGGCCGGCACAACGGGAAGCGAAGGGGCGACCCUGAGCGGAUCCCACAAAAGCCGGUCUCAGUUCGGAUUGCAGUCUGCAACUCGACUGCAUGAAGUUGGAAUCGCUAGUAAUCGUGGAUCAGCCAAGCCGCGGUGAAUACGUUCCCGGGCCUU
RNAcentral lists this ribosomal RNA (372 nucleotides) under uncultured Thermovirga sp. RNAcentral's name for it is "bacterial SSU rRNA". It matches the Rfam family "Bacterial small subunit ribosomal RNA", at positions 1012 to 1382 of the family's 1533-position model. The record is from RNAcentral. Lineage: Bacteria; Thermotogati; Synergistota; Synergistia; Synergistales; Thermovirgaceae.